AUACAAUCAAUCCGCCUUUUAUUUACCUUCGUUUUUAGUAGUUCACAAAAAUCCAAAAAUUUGUACGUAAUACUCUUUGAAGAAGUUAAAGAACCUACAACAGAGGCACAUUGUUCAUUCCUCAGCAUAAUCACUUGAAGAAAAAAAGGAAUGAUUGUCGAGAGUUGUUAUUUGAAUCAUUGGGUAACUUUCAAGUUCAACAAUAAAGGGAGCCAUUCAUUUAAUUCUUGCGGGCACCAAAAAUCUCAAGGUCAAUCAUGUUUGUUGGUGUGGUGGCGUUGUCGGCAUUCAUGUUAUAAUGGUUUGUGCAUACAUCAUUUAUCAAAUGAAUCUAAAAAAUAGAUUUUUAUUUAUAAUAGUGAAUGGAGGGUGUAAGCUGUAAAAUAAUUUUUGAUGUAUAUUUUAUACAUAGCCUUUAUGUUGUUUGUUUUAAUAACAAAAUUAACCGAAUCAUUUUAGCUUUAUUAACUAAACCGGUUAUUUAGUUGAAGAGCCGUUAUUCCUUUGUAUCAAGUUGAUACAAAGCAAUAAAAUUACUUCUU
RNAcentral lists this long non-coding RNA (542 nucleotides) under Medicago truncatula (barrel medic). RNAcentral describes it as "lncRNA gene9431". Lineage: Eukaryota; Viridiplantae; Streptophyta; Magnoliopsida; Fabales; Fabaceae. The record is from RNAcentral.